GAAGAACGCUGGCGGCUUGCCUAAUACAUGCAAGUCGAGCGAACGGACGAGAAGCUUGCUUCUCCGAAGUUAGCGGCGGACGGGUGAGUAACACGUGGAUAACCUACCUAUAAGACCGGGAUAACUUCGGGAAACCGGAGCUAAUACCGGAUAAUAUUUUGAACCGCAUGGUUCAAAAGUGAAAGACGGUCUUGCUGUCACUUAUAGAUGGAUCCGCGCUGCAUUAGCUAGUUGGUAAGGUAACGGCUUACCAAGGCAACGAUGCAUAGCCGACCUGAGAGGGUGAUCGGCCACACUGGAACUGAGACACGGUCCAGACUCCUACGGGAGGCAGCAGUAGGGAAUCUUCCGCAAUGGGCGAAAGCCUGACGGAGCAACGCCGCGUGAGUGAUGAAGGUCUUCGGAUCGUAAAACUCUGUUAUUAGGGAAGAACAUAUGUGUAAGUAACUGUGCACAUCUUGACGGUACCUAAUCAGAAAGCCACGGCUAACUACGUGCCAGCAGCCGCGGUAAUACGUAGGUGGCAAGCGUUAUCCGGAAUUAUUGGGCGUAAAGCGCGCGUAGGCGGUUUUUUAAGUCUGAUGUGAAAGCCCACGGCUCAACCGUGGAGGGUCAUUGGAAACUGGAAAACUUGAGUGCAGAAGAGGAAAGUGGAAUUCCAUGUGUAGCGGUGAAAUGCGCAGAGAUAUGGAGGAACACCAGUGGCGAAGGCGACUUUCUGGUCUGUAACUGACGCUGAUGUGCGAAAGCGUGGGGAUCAAACAGGAUUAGAUACCCUGGUAGUCCACGCCGUAAACGAUGAGUGCUAAGUGUUAGGGGGUUUCCGCCCCUUAGUGCUGCAGCUAACGCAUUAAGCACUCCGCCUGGGGAGUACGACCGCAAGGUUGAAACUCAAAGGAAUUGACGGGGACCCGCACAAGCGGUGGAGCAUGUGGUUUAAUUCGAAGCAACGCGAAGAACCUUACCAAAUCUUGACAUCCUUUGACAACUCUAGAGAUAGAGCCUUCCCCUUCGGGGGACAAAGUGACAGGUGGUGCAUGGUUGUCGUCAGCUCGUGUCGUGAGAUGUUGGGUUAAGUCCCGCAACGAGCGCAACCCUUAAGCUUAGUUGCCAUCAUUAAGUUGGGCACUCUAAGUUGACUGCCGGUGACAAACCGGAGGAAGGUGGGGAUGACGUCAAAUCAUCAUGCCCCUUAUGAUUUGGGCUACACACGUGCUACAAUGGACAAUACAAAGGGCAGCGAAACCGCGAGGUCAAGCAAAUCCCAUAAAGUUGUUCUCAGUUCGGAUUGUAGUCUGCAACUCGACUACAUGAAGCUGGAAUCGCUAGUAAUCGUAGAUCAGCAUGCUACGGUGAAUACGUUCCCGGGUCU
This 1372-nucleotide ribosomal RNA is filed under the name uncultured bacterium. Its description in RNAcentral is "bacterial SSU rRNA". It matches the Rfam family "Bacterial small subunit ribosomal RNA", at positions 28 to 1381 of the family's 1533-position model. The record is from RNAcentral.